ACAAGCGGUGGAGUAUGUGGUUUAAUUCGAUGCAACGCGAAGAACCUUACCUGGUCUUGACAUCCCGGAGACCCUUAGGAAACUAGGGGGUGCUUCCAUCUGGAAGAAUCUGGAGACAGGUGCUGCAUGGCUGUCGUCAGCUCGUGUCGUGAGAUGUUGGGUUAAGUCCCGCAACGAGCGCAACCCUUGCCUUUAGUUGCCAGCAGUUCGGCUGGGCACUCUAAAGGGACUGCCGGUGUUAAACCGGAGGAAGGUGGGGAUGACGUCAAGUCCCCAUGGCCUUUAUGACCAGGGCUACACACGUACUACAAUGGCCGAUACAAAGGGCAGCGACACUGCGAGGUGAAGCCAAUCCCGUAAAAUCGGUCUCAGUCCGGAUUGGAGUCUGCAACUCGACUCCAUGAAGUUGGAAUCGCUAGUAAUCGUGGAUCAGCAUGCCACGGUGAAUACGUUCCCGGGCCUU
Molecule: ribosomal RNA, 463 nt
Filed under: uncultured Desulfobulbus sp.
Lineage: Bacteria; Pseudomonadati; Thermodesulfobacteriota; Desulfobulbia; Desulfobulbales; Desulfobulbaceae
Description: bacterial SSU rRNA
Rfam family: Bacterial small subunit ribosomal RNA
Source: RNAcentral